AACGAACGCUGGCGGCAUGCCUAACACAUGCAAGUCGAACGAGACCUUCGGGCCUUGUGGCGCACGGGUGCGUAACGCGUGGGAACCUGCACUUAGGUUCGGAAUAACUCCCCGAAAGGGGUGCUAAUACCGGAUCAUGUCUUCGGACCAAAGAUUUAUCGCCUUUGGAUGGGCCCGCGUUGGAUUAGCUAGUUGGUAGGGUAAUAGCCUACCAAGGCGACGAUCCAUAGCUGGUCUGAGAGGAUGAUCAGCCACACUGGGACUGAGACACGGCCCAGACUCCUACGGGAGGGAGGAGUGGGGAAUAUUGGACGAGGGGGGAAAGCCUGAUCCAGCAAUGCCGGGUGAGUGAUGAAGGCCGUAGGGAUGUAAAGCUCUUUUACCCGGGAUGGUAAUGACGGUACCGGGAGAAUAAGCUCCGGCUAACUACGUG
Molecule: ribosomal RNA, 433 nt
Filed under: uncultured bacterium
Lineage: Bacteria
Description: partial 16S ribosomal RNA
Rfam family: Bacterial small subunit ribosomal RNA
Source: RNAcentral